UACAGAGGGUGCGAGCGUUGUCCGGAAUCACUGGGCGUAAAGGGCGCGUAGGUGGCGGCCCAAGUCCGUGGUGAAAGCUCGAUGCUUAACAUCGAGUCGGCCACGGAGACUGGGUGGCUCGAGCACUGUAGGGGCAGAUGGAAUUCCGGGUGUAGCGGUGGAAUGCGUAGAGAUCCGGAAGAACACCGGUGGCGAAGGCGGUCUGCUGGGCAGUUGCUGACACUGAGGCGCGACAGCGUGGGGAGCAAACAGG
RNAcentral lists this ribosomal RNA (253 nucleotides) under uncultured bacterium. RNAcentral's name for it is "partial 16S ribosomal RNA". It matches the Rfam family "Bacterial small subunit ribosomal RNA", at positions 524 to 776 of the family's 1533-position model. The record is from RNAcentral.